Long non-coding RNA from Oncorhynchus nerka (sockeye salmon), 2001 nucleotides. RefSeq lists it as uncharacterized. NCBI's taxonomy places the organism in Eukaryota, Metazoa, Chordata, Actinopteri, Salmoniformes, Salmonidae. The transcript is spliced from 3 exons. The record is from RefSeq and is a predicted model, not a curated record.
AUUGUUAGCAGCUAACGUUAGCGUUACCUAGAUAACAGAUGUAUCACCCAAGUCCUGUCUCCAACACGAAUGAAAGACUACCUGGGGGGAAUGAACAGUCCCCUGGCUCUGAUGAAAUACCGGUAAAUACUCUGAGCCGGCACUGGUCUGCGCUGGGGCCGUGGUGGGGUCUUUCGUGGCUACAGAGGACGCUCCAGCCGCUCCAGUCUGGAUGUUUCUGCUGUGCUAUUGGAAUGUCCACAGUGCAAGGUGUUCUACAUUGGACGGACAAAGAGACACCUUCAAGAUCGCUUAGCGGAACACAAGUACGCCAUACCGGUAGGCAAUGAAGAAUACCCCAUGGCAAGGCACUACAAGUCCCUACACCAUGGCAACCCUGCCUCCCUACAAGCUAUGGGUAUUGAUCAUAUUCCGGCCUCUAUUAGAAAAGGGGACCGUCUUAAACCGUUAAGCCAAAGGGAAAGUUUUUGGAUUUACAAACUACAGGCCACUAAAUACCCUGGUUUAAAUGAAGAUAUGGAUUUCUCACCUUUCCUGUAGCGUCGUGAUGGGUCCAUUUGCUGUCAUCUAGUGGACAUUUUGCUCAAUUGCCUUCAGCUAUGGUUUGACUGUUGUUGUUCAUGUUUUGCUAUGUUCUAGUGUACUAUAUAUUGCUUUCUUAUUCUUGACACUUCUCCCAGUCAUAUUUAAGGUUAGAACUACCUUUUAGUGUUCUGAUACUUCUAGCUUGGAGUUGUAUUUUUUUGAUAACAUAGCUACAGUAUUUCACCUUUUAACCUCUAAUGACUCCCCAUCCCGCAUGAGGGAGCAUAAUCAUCGACUGACACUAAUUAGCAUAACGCAACAGACAUAAAUAUUCCUAGAAAAUAUCCAUAUUCAUAAAAAUCACAAGUGAAAUAUAUUGAGACACAGCUUAGCCUUUUGUUAAUCACCCUGUCAUCUCAGAUUUUCAAAAUAUGCUUUACAGCCAAAGCUAGACAAUCAUUUGUGUAAGUUUAUCGAUAGCCUAGCAUAGCAUUUUGUCCAGCUAGCAGCAGGUAACUUGGUCACGGAAAUCAGAAAAGCAAUCAAAUUAAAUCGUUUACCUUUGAUGAGCUUCGGAUGUUUUCACUCACGAGACUCCCAGUUAGAUAGCCAAUGUUCCUUUUUUCCCAAAAUAUUAUUUUUGUAGGCGAAAUAGCUUGUUCUUCACGUUUGGCUGAGAAAUCGCCCGGAAAUUACAGUCACGAAAACUCAGAAUAAUAUUCCAAAUUAGCUCCAUAAUAUCGACAGAAACAUGGCAACGCUGUUUGUAAUCAAUCCUGAAGGCGUUUUUCAAAUAUCUAUUCGAUAAUAUAUCCACCGGGACAAUUGGUUUUUCAGUAGGACCGAUUGGAAUAAUGGCUAUCUCUGUAUUUUACGCGAGAAUCACUCUGGGAGCCAUCAGGUGACCAGUUGCGCAAUGUAGCCGCUUACGGGUAUGCUUCAACAUAAAUGCGUAAAACUAUGUCACAAUGCUGUAGACACCUUGGGGAAUACGGAGAAAAAGUCAUCUGGUUGAUAGCCCAUUCACUGCUCAAUAGGGACGCAUUGGAACCCAGCACUUUCAAAACAUGAGGCACUUCCGGAUUGGAUUUUUCUCAGGCUUUCGCCUGCAAUAUCAGUUCUGUUAUACUCACAGACAAUAUUUUUACAGUUAUUGAAACUUUAGAGUGUUUUCUAUCCUAAGCUGUCAAUUAUAUGCAUAUUCUAGCAUCUUGUCCUGAAAAAAAUAUCCCGUUUAAUACGGGAACAUUAUUUUUCCAAAAAUGAAAAUACUGCCCCCUAGUCACAAAAGGUUUUAAUGUGUAUAGUAUUGCUUACUAGGUGUGUCCAAUCAACUGUGUAACCACUCUCUGUUCCAAUUAGGGCUAAUUGAAAAGCUUUUCAAAAGCACAUUGUAUUCCUUUUUUUUGUACUCAGUUUUUAAAAACUUUGUUUCUACUGAACAUGCCAUACUAAUAAAGGCAUUUUAAUCAAUUA